CACCUCUUCCCAUUCCGAACAGAGAAGUUAAGCCCAAUCGUGCCGAUGGUACUGCGUUUUGUGGGAGAGUAGGUAGCCGCCAUUU
This 85-nucleotide ribosomal RNA is filed under the name Porphyromonas pasteri. RNAcentral also lists the same sequence under 1 other name. Lineage: Bacteria; Pseudomonadati; Bacteroidota; Bacteroidia; Bacteroidales; Porphyromonadaceae. The record is from RNAcentral.